MicroRNA precursor from Oryza sativa Japonica Group (Japanese rice), 202 nucleotides. It matches the Rfam family "MIR812 microRNA precursor family". The record is from Rfam. NCBI's taxonomy places the organism in Eukaryota, Viridiplantae, Streptophyta, Magnoliopsida, Poales, Poaceae.
AAUAAGCGCAACCAUAAGUUUCCAUAUCUAAUUUUGACCGUCUGUCUUAUUUAAAUUUUUUUUAUAAUUAGUAUUUUUAUUGUUAUUAGAUUAUAAAACAUAAAUAGUACUUUAUGUGACUGAUGCUUUUUAGAUUUUUCUUUAAAAAUCAAAUAAGACGAACGGUCAAAGUUGAACACGGAAACUUAUGGCUGCGCUUAUU